CAGCCGCCGCGGUAAUACUAGGGGUGCAAGCGUUGUCCGGAAUCAUUGGGCGUAAAGGGUGCGUAGGCGUCCGGGAAAGUUAUUUGUUAAAUCCUUCGGCUUAACCGAAGAAAUGCAAGUAAAACUAAUCGGAUAGAGUUUAAGAGAGGAAAGUGGAAUUCCUGGUGUAGCGGUGACAUGCGUAGAUAUCAGGAGGAACAUCAAUGGCGAAGGCGGCUUUCUGGCUUAAAACUGACGCUGAGGCACGAAAGCGUGGGGAGCAAACAGGAUUAGAUACCUUGGUAGUCCACGCCGUAAACGAUGAGUACUUGGUGCCGGAGGAUUCGACCCCCUCGGUGCCGUAGCUAACGCGUUAAGUACUCCGCUUGGGGACUACGACCGCAAGGUCGAAACUCAAAGGAAUUGACGGGGACCCGCACAAGCGGUGGAACAUGUGGUUUAAUUCGAUGCAACGCGAAGAACCUUACCUGGACUUGACAUGUUAGUGUAAGUCCCGUGAAAGCGGGACCCUCUGCGAGCUUGCUCAAAGACACUAUCACAGGUGAUGCAUGGCUGUCGUCAGCUCGUGUCGUGAGAUGUUGGGUUAAGUCCCGCAACGAGCGCAACCCCUAUCCUUAGUUGCCAGCACGUUAUGGUGGGGACUCUAAGGAGACUGCCCGGGAUAACCGGGAGGAAGGUGGGGAUGAUGUCAAGUCAGUAUGUCCCUUAUGUCCAGGGCUACACACGUGUUACAAUGGCUGGUACAAUGGGUUGCCAACCCGCGAGGGUGAGCCAAUCCCAUAAAGCAGUUCUUAGUUCGGAUUGGAGUCUGCAACUCGACUCCAUGAAGCUGGAAUCGCUAGUAAUCGCGGAUCAG
This 856-nucleotide ribosomal RNA is filed under the name uncultured bacterium. Its description in RNAcentral is "bacterial SSU rRNA". It matches the Rfam family "Bacterial small subunit ribosomal RNA", at positions 509 to 1352 of the family's 1533-position model. The record is from RNAcentral.